Cyanistes caeruleus (blue tit) is the source of this 234-nucleotide non-coding RNA. Lineage: Eukaryota; Metazoa; Chordata; Aves; Passeriformes; Paridae. The record is from RefSeq and is a predicted model, not a curated record.
AGAUACUACUUUCUGAAAACUAGAACUAAUAAGAAAAACUCCAAGGAGAAAAACCUUUAAAUGGCCUCAAAGAACUGUGAAAAGCACUAUCUCAAGUUGCUCUCUGACUGCCAGAUGUGAUCACCAGGCUGGGAUAUCCUCACGUGUCCUGGAGUGCCCAUGGAAAUCCAGCAACUGCAAUGGUUUGGUGCUACUCAGUGUGACUUAAUUGAGAAUAAAUUUUUCUGCAUAUGA